RNAcentral lists this long non-coding RNA (596 nucleotides) under Pan troglodytes (chimpanzee). RNAcentral describes it as "lincRNA". Lineage: Eukaryota; Metazoa; Chordata; Mammalia; Primates; Hominidae. The record is from RNAcentral.
UACCCAUCUAAGGUUGUUGGGAAUACUGAGCCGAUACUUGUAAAGUGUUCAAAAUGCCAGUGCUGUUUAUUGGUUCAGAGCUGGAGAAAACAAGAGUAGACCCAGAUGGAGGGACACAUCCAGGUUUUCCUUUCUCAUUUCGGCUUCUACUUCAGACAGGCUUUUUCCAUUGCCAAAGGCCACUUCAGUCUGAUGUCAUGUCAGUUUAAUGGUAUCAGAGGAAAAGAGAGCAGUGUUUCCCUGUUUCGGUGGAGCACUGCACUUAUAAAUCCUGAAGAAUGGCUCUGCCUUGGCUGAGCUUGGCCAUGAUCACCCGUAGUUUCUCGAGGUGCCAUGAUUGAGAUCGGAGCCACCUGCCUGGAGGAAGGACAGGCUGUUUUCCACAGGGGCGGGAUGUUCUUACCAGAAGGACAGAAGGCAGUUGAGUGACCAGGAUGACAGAUGCUGCCAUGCAAGGGUUGUGGGUGCACCUGGGUUGGCACCGUGUCUGAUCCAGGAGGAUUACAGGAUGAGCUUAUCAUGGAACAUAAGAAAAAUAAAACAGAUGUCAGCCUGUGUAUGAAGAAUUCAUCCACAAGAUUUGCUCACUCUUCAAU